UUGUCUCAAAGAUUAAGCCAUGCAUGUCUCAGUACAAGCCACAUUAAGGUGAAACCGCGAAAGGCUCAUUAAAUCAGUUAUGGUUCCUUAGAUCGUACCCACAUUUACUUGGAUAACUGUGGUAAUUCUAGAGCUAAUACAUGCAAACAGAGCUCCGACCGGAGACGGAAGGAGUGCUUUUAUUAGAACAAAACCAAUCGGCGGCGGGUGCGUUCGCGCGCCCGUUCGCCGCUCUGCCUGGUGACUCUGAAUAACUUUCGGCUGAUCGCACGGUCUCGCACCGGCGACGCAUCUUUCAAAUGUCUGCCUUAUCAACUGUCGAUGGUAGGUUCUGCGCCUACCAUGGUCGUAACGGGUAACGGGGAAUCAGGGUUCGAUUCCGGAGAGGGAGCCUGAGAAACGGCUACCACAUCCAAGGAAGGCAGCAGGCGCGCAAAUUACCCACUCCCGGCACGGGGAGGUAGUGACGAAAAAUAACGAUACGGGACUCAUCCGAGGCCCCGUAAUCGGAAUGAGUACACUUUAAAUCCUUUAACGAGGACCCAUUGGAGGGCAAGUCUGGUGCCAGCAGCCGCGGUAAUUCCAGCUCCAAUAGCGUAUAUUAAAGUUGUUGCGGUUAA
This 620-nucleotide ribosomal RNA is filed under the name Celina sp. IR320. RNAcentral's name for it is "SSU rRNA". It matches the Rfam family "Eukaryotic small subunit ribosomal RNA", at positions 32 to 622 of the family's 1831-position model. Lineage: Eukaryota; Metazoa; Arthropoda; Insecta; Coleoptera; Dytiscidae. The record is from RNAcentral.